Molecule: long non-coding RNA, 541 nt
Filed under: Gallus gallus (chicken)
Lineage: Eukaryota; Metazoa; Chordata; Aves; Galliformes; Phasianidae
Description: lncRNA (ENSGALG00010010735.1)
Source: RNAcentral
CCCCAGUACUCACACUCCAUCUGACUGCUAAGAGCAUCCCUUCCCCAAUGGCAUCUUCAGGCUGAGAAGCAUCAAAGAGAGUGAGCAACUGUCUCGAGCCUUAGAAGGAAAAAAGGCAGGGAGAGAAGAAGGAAAAAGCAAUUCUCUUCAAGAAUUUCAUGGUGGCAUUCUCUCCAACUGCUUCUCCCAUGGACCAGAAAUCAUACCUAAUUCAGAGAGUAACUUUUGGAUGAAGAUGCUGUGCUUCGUCCUGCUAACAUUCCCAGUUGUCAUCAUGUCUAUGUCAUCUAUUCUGUUGUAUGGAGAUCUGUAUGAGACCCGAGCUGGGCACCGCCACCUUGGAGGUUUUAAGGCCCAGGAGAACAGCGGGCUGGGCACCCUGCCCUGAUUUCCCAUGGACCUUCCCAGAGCAGAAGCUUCGAAGCAGCCUUCCAGCCCCAGCCAUUCGGUGGUUGUAUUCUCUCUUGUGCUGGGUUCCCCAGCGUGAAUCUGUACCAACUCAAAAUAUGAGUAAUUUAAAAUCAAAGUAGUUUAAGCGAAA